This 253-nucleotide ribosomal RNA is filed under the name uncultured bacterium. RNAcentral's name for it is "partial 16S ribosomal RNA". It matches the Rfam family "Bacterial small subunit ribosomal RNA", at positions 524 to 776 of the family's 1533-position model. The record is from RNAcentral.
UACGGAGGAUGCAGGCGUUAUCCGGAUUUAUUAGGUUUAAAGGGUGUGUAGGCGGGAUGAUAAGUCAGUGGUGAAAUCCAACAGCUCAACUGUUGAACUGCCAUUGAUACUGUUGUUCUUGAAUAUAGUUGAGGUAGGCGGAAUGUGUAAUGUAGCGGUGAAAUGCUUAGAUAUUACACAGAACACCGAUUGCGAAGGCAGCUUACUAAGCUAUUAUUGACGCUGAUGCACGAAAGCGUGGGGAGCGAACAGG